AGAUAACGUUUGGGUGAUUUUGCU
This 24-nucleotide non-coding RNA is filed under the name Arabidopsis thaliana (thale cress). Lineage: Eukaryota; Viridiplantae; Streptophyta; Magnoliopsida; Brassicales; Brassicaceae. The record is from RNAcentral.